UAGGGAAUAUUGCGCAGUGGGCGAAAGCCUGACGCAGCGAUACCGCGUGAGUGAGGAAGGUCUUCGGAUUGUAAAACUCUGUCACGGUGGAAAAAUGGUUUACGUUCGAACAGGGCGUAGAUUUGAUGGUACACCGAGAGGAAGCACCGGCUGACUUCGUGCCAGCAGCCGCGGUAAUACGAAGGGUGCAAGCGUUGUUCGGAUUUAUUGGGCGUAAAGCGCGCGCAGGCGGAUGGUCAAGUCAGGUGUGAAAUCUCGGAGCUCAACUUCGAAAGUGCGCCUGAAACUAGCUAUCUAGAAUACCGGAGGGGGAGGGGGAAUUUCGCAUGUAGGGGUAAAAUCCGUAGAUAUGCGAAGGAACACCGGAGGCGAAGGCGCCUUCCUAGACGGUGAUUGACGCUGAGGCGCGAAAGCGUGGGGAGCAAACAGG
Molecule: ribosomal RNA, 430 nt
Filed under: uncultured bacterium
Lineage: Bacteria
Description: bacterial SSU rRNA
Rfam family: Bacterial small subunit ribosomal RNA
Source: RNAcentral